UCAAUUUUCAAAAUGGAAAAUUAUUUUUGUAAAACUUUUAAUAAAAAAAAUUAUAAAUAAAAAAAAUUCUGCGUUGGCCUACCAUCUCCCCAAGUGGGAGAGUGGACGUCAUAAUUUGUGGUAGAGGGGGUACGCGUUCGCGCGGCCCCUUC
Molecule: small nuclear RNA, 152 nt
Filed under: Oryza sativa Indica Group (long-grained rice)
Lineage: Eukaryota; Viridiplantae; Streptophyta; Magnoliopsida; Poales; Poaceae
Description: snRNA U1
Rfam family: U1 spliceosomal RNA
About the family: U1 is a small nuclear RNA (snRNA) component of the spliceosome (involved in pre-mRNA splicing). Its 5' end forms complementary base pairs with the 5' splice junction, thus defining the 5' donor site of an intron.
Source: RNAcentral